This 212-nucleotide long non-coding RNA is filed under the name Homo sapiens (human). Its description in RNAcentral is "long non-coding RNA NONHSAT022762.2". The record is from RNAcentral. Lineage: Eukaryota; Metazoa; Chordata; Mammalia; Primates; Hominidae.
AUUCCUUGGUGCCACUGACCACAGCUCUUUCUUCAGGGACAGACAUGGCUCAGCGGAUGACAACACAGCUGCUGCUCCUUCUAGUGUGGGUGGCUGUAGUAGGGGAGGCUCAGACAAGGAUUGCAUGGGCCAGGACUGAGCUUCUCAAUGUCUGCAUGAACGCCAAGCACCACAAGGAAAAGCCAGGCCCCGAGGACAAGUUGCAUGAGCAG